This 76-nucleotide transfer RNA is filed under the name Pedosphaera sp. RNAcentral describes it as "tRNA-Ala". It matches the Rfam family "tRNA". Rfam says of the family: Transfer RNA (tRNA) molecules are approximately 80 nucleotides in length. Their secondary structure includes four short double-helical elements and three loops (D, anti-codon, and T loops). The record is from RNAcentral. Lineage: Bacteria; Pseudomonadati; Verrucomicrobiota; Pedosphaerae; Pedosphaerales; Pedosphaeraceae.
GGGGUCGUAGCUCAGUUGGUAGAGCGCCACAAUGGCAUUGUGGAUGUCGCAGGUUCGAAUCCUGUCGGCUCCACCA